GAAUAACUAGAAUGAUGAAAGGAAGAAGCACAGAUUAGAUGUGUCCAUUUUCUUUCACCUCACUGACAUGUACAACCUGAUAUGAGCUUCAUUUCCCCUAGCACUACAAAUCUGGAUUCUGCUGUCACAGCAGAAGAAGAGAGAGAAUAAACCCAGCAGGCCUUGCAGAUGAACAGACUGUAGCUCUGGGUGGGAGGAACAAGUUCCAAAGUAAAGGGCCACUCAUCAGAAAUCGCCUGUUCCCACCCUCUUCCUAUUUAAUAAGGAGCUGUUGGCUUGGGCACCUCAUCUGAUAUCAUUGACCAAGGUAUCACGGAAGAAGAAAGGUAGUCCUUAAGGCCAAACGCUUUAGAGCAGAGGUUCCCAAAAUGAAUUAUAGACCACCAGUAGUGGACAGUGAUGGAAUAACUACCCAUCGGGGAAGUUUCCUUCUAAUCCCCAUCAGUUAGUGGCCAAUUUAUGUCCUGAAGGAUGAGGGCUUAUAGUUCUUACAAUUUUUUAGCCUUUCUAAAGUAAAUGCAGGUGUUCUCGUUACCAUAUAAAUAUAUAAUCCUUCUUUAAAACCUACUAAGCUCUUGGUUUCAAUGUUAUAGUGUGGCAAUGAGUUCCAUGGGUGAAAUAUGCCUUGGGUAAAAGAAUAGUUCCUUUUAUCAGUUGUAAUUUGUUCCCUUUCAGUUUCUUUGAAACUAUUAUCAACUCUUCCUUAGAGAUUUGGGUGCCCAAUUUCCAUUAAAAUUAUUUUGAAAAUCCCACCCACAAUGUUUGCUAGUUCUUCUUUAAAAGAUUAUCCACAUGGAUUCCACUUCUGGUACGCACAAGCCCCAUGCAUGGAAGAUUGGAUUAUUUUGGCCAUCCGUGUCUGUCUGAGUCAGGAAUGAGACCCGUGUUGAACACUCACCACGCUGCUGUGUUUGGAUCCAAGCACUAGAUCUGUGAGAUUUUCUGCUCCCUUGGUCUGGUCUAGGGUUGCCAGACAUUCGGUUUUCAACUGGAACACCCGGUUGAAAAGGGACUCUGGCGGCUCUUGCUGACCGGGCUGUUAAAAGCUGUUAAAAGACAGGCUUACCUCAGUCUCCUCAUCAGUCUUGAGCAUUCUUUGAGAUUUGAUCAGUGUCCUUUCAGGAUCUCAUGUCUCUUUUGAACAUUACUCCUCCAACUGUGUUCAUGUCCAGAUCAUGGAGUCUGCUCUCACUCCUGCCCUAAAUUCUAUUUGUGUUUCUGACCCUCCCAGACUUUAUGUUCUUAAAACCUAGUACUAACAUCUUGGGUUCAUUGUUCCUUCUCUUGUUUUUUGUUUUUGUUUUUUCUUUCUCUGCUCCUCUGCAGACAAGUUGGAGAUAACUGGUUGGAUCUAGACAGACUGCAGCCACCCCAUUGUUCUGCUAGGGCAAGGCUUAUUCAGUUGUUGAUGGUACUUAAUGGCCAUUCAUUCUGAGGCUGGCCACACUCCCUCUCCUUAACACAAGAAGUGUGAUGCAAGACUACAGUACAGGCAGCCCAUAAGGGCAUAAACAUACACGUAGUUCAUAACAUCAAACAGAUUCCCCAGAUCCUCACAGUAUAGUUACUAGUUCUUUGGUUCCACCCAUUGGCAGUAAAUAAAUAUGUACAAAGAAUAAAUAAAAAUUAGAAAAGUUUAGGGGUACCAGGUACCCAUGGUACCAGGCCACUAGCCACUCUUGCUGAAAUAAAAUCCCUGAGAUUUAAAACUUUUGUGAGGCUACUAUCCUGAUCAACGAUGGGCACUCUAGAUGCCUCUUUCACCUCAGCAGGAGACCCAUCCCUGAGAGAUGCUCCAUGUGUUGCUCUUUCUACAAAAGGACACAGAAAGUGAGAAAGGCCCACCUCAGCUUUUCUCUACAGGAGCUCUCAAAUGAGGGCUCUUCAGAGCUGGAGACAAAAGAUCCCAGCAAGCCUGAAAAGUCAGUUUUGAUGAGUGCUCCUGUGAGCUGCAGCUCAACACUGAACUCCUAAGUUCAUUUUUCUUCAAAGAGAUCGAACCUCUAGACUACUUACUCCAGCAGAAUAGUCAAGACUUUCUCUGCUCAGUCAUCAUCAGAAGGAGAUAAGAAGGAACAUCGCUCCCAGAGCGAACACAGCCUUUCAUUGGUGCCUAGUAAAACAAGACAAAAGACCCAUCAUAUCUCUGUUCAGGUGGAGGGCAGCACAUGACUCAGAUCAGGUCUCUCUGAUGCCUCAGCACAGGCUGCUCACCAAGUACUCAUGAUGAUACUGCCUGAAAUUGUACACUUCUCUUGGUUUUAACUCCUCAGUACCUGUGCUCUAAACCUCAGUGCCUGCAUAAGCCUCCAUAGGUGUGUGUAUGUAGGUGUAUGUAGGUGUUUCUUGGCCUGCCUUUCUCAGUAUCAAAGAUGUUCUUGGUAUUCCUAGUGAUCCACUCAGUGACUGCACAUCACCCUUGUUGUCCUUAUCUGCUGUUCUAAGCUGUUCUUCUAGAAGUGCUACUAACUUGGUACUUCUCACUUAUACAGCCCUUAUACUGAGGAGCUUUCCUGUUUAGGUUUUGAGUGGUAUUCAAGAGCUCCCUAGCACACCAGGUAGAGUAUCUCCCCCAUGAAUUGAGUAUAUAUAUUUUUUCACCUCCCCUUCCAAACAUAGCAGGGAGCUAUCCUUCAUCAUACACCUCAUGCUUCUUCAUAUGAGCCAUACUGGUCUACUUGCAGGAUUUUAUAAUUGUACUAUGAGAAUUAAUGUAUGAUUUCAUCCUGACAGACUGCCAGUGUCUGUACUGAUGUUAAGGCAGGGACAAACCAGAACAAACCUUAUGACUGAUUAUAGUCAUCCUUUUGUUUUAGGAUAAGUUAUAAUGUCUACUAUGGUUUCCUACAUGUAUUACAAAUUAGGCACUCUAGUUAAAUAUACAUUUCUUUGUUUUAAGGUUUAGUAAGUAAGAGACAAGAUCUUGUAUUUGUCUGUGUCAAAGAGAUUAGAGGAAGGCUUAAUUUACUAUGCCUUUCUUGCUCAAAAUAAAAAUUGCUGUAUUCUCAAAGGUCUCUGUAAAAGACUGUUUAUGUGAAUGAGGAAUGUAUGCAUCAGGAAAAGGUAAGGUGUGAAGGCCAUUGUUAUAGCCAGAUGGUCAAGGAAGAAGGAGUGAAGAGACUUAACGACACCAGAGAAUCAUCAAUGUGCAUCCAUAAUGAAGGAAGGGCAGAUUGAUGACCCUGAGGAGAAGGCUGACACCCCUAAAGACAGGACCAUUGAUUAAAUCGGAACCAGGACAGGAUGACCCUCUUGGAGGUGUAUUGGAAUGUUUACAUCAAAAGAUACACCAAUUAAGAAGUAACCAGUCACAAACUGACACAGCAAAA
Long non-coding RNA from Dermochelys coriacea (leatherback sea turtle), 3329 nucleotides. RefSeq lists it as uncharacterized. The record is from RefSeq and is a predicted model, not a curated record. Lineage: Eukaryota; Metazoa; Chordata; Testudines; Dermochelyidae. The transcript is spliced from 2 exons.